Molecule: long non-coding RNA, 1569 nt
Organism: Numida meleagris (helmeted guineafowl)
Lineage: Eukaryota; Metazoa; Chordata; Aves; Galliformes; Numididae
Exons: 3
Source: RefSeq, a predicted model, not a curated record
GUUUGCUUUGUACCUGGGGCUUUCUGUAGAUUUAUCCCCACUGUGCUUUGUAUCUGAGGCAGCAACAUCAUUCUCCAUGCUUCCUGGGGAAACCUUCCCAGCCCCAGAGGCAUUGCAUUUUAAUUCUUGUGAUGCAUCUUCACAAUGAUAAAAACUUGCGUGUCUUCGUUCACUGAGGAGGAUCUCAGCACAAAGGAAAAACCCUAUGGGUGCUGCAGGAUUUCUGUGGGAACCAGAUUCCAAUGCCUGCGUACACGUACGACAUUGAAAGGGAUCACUUUGCAGGCAGAGUUACUGCCCUGGACAACUCUAAUUUGCUGGAAGUUAAACAGAAGGGGUUGAUUCUGGCUGCUACAUGAUAUAAAUUACCAGCAAAUUGCUCUGUAAGUUCUCAUUAUAAAGUACAUGCUGCUGUGAAGGAUUUGCUGCUUUAGUCCCAAACUUCUGUUUGUCUGCUGGUGCUUGAAGGACAACGGCAGAGCUUAACUUUUCACAAAGUCACAAAAAUCCUGGGUUGAUGCUAUUUAGUUGUCGUACUUGACCUUUCAGAUCUUCUUUUCCUUUUAUCCAAGCCAAGCACGAGGCACUUUCCAGAAGACACUUGUUGAAAUACGUUAAGGUCUUGUAUUAAAGCUGCAGAGUGUUCCCAGUAAACACAAAGCAAAGUUACAUCCGCGGAGCUCUUCCUCAGCUGGUGUAAAGCACCGUAGCACUGCCAACUUCAACAGAGCAAUACCCGUGCUUAAAUGUAGCUCCUGUGAGAGUGAGUUCUGAAAUGUGAUGAUAAUUCCAACGGGAAGAAUUUAUAUUCAUGGGUUGUUAAGGCUGGAAAAGAACCUUCAUCGCCAUCUGCAUAAAAGUUCACUUGACAAAUCUUGUUUUAAAAACUGUUCCACUGUGCGCCAUCAAAUGGAUCUGUGCUGGUGAAUUGCACUGAAACGUGGAGGCUUUGCUCCCUGUGCUAACCUCAGUGAGCUGCAGCCAUCCUGGUAUCUGAGUGCAGAGUCACUCAGGUACCUCUCAGAGGCAGCUUUGUAUUUUUGGGGCUUAUCCAACAUGCAGGAGUCAUUUUUCCUACUCCGUGGCCUGGUCCAGACCCAGCUUCACUUCCCUGCUCCAAGCUGUCGGAGGCAUUUAAUCACAGAGGCAGAACAGAAAUAACCCAGUGCUGCUCUGUCCCUUGCCUGGAUUGGUUUCCUUGCAUGGCACCCACGUGCUGUAUUGGCCCAAAGUCCAAUUCUCUCACUGAGACAGAAGCUUCCCUAGGUUUCUCUCCAUCAUAGGCAUCUUGGGCAGUGUCAUGCUGCUGGCAGCAGCUGGGGUUGGCUGUUCCUUGUCCCAAAUUCAGUCCCUCAGGGUACAUAGUGAGCCCAUGACUUUGCUGCCUGGCAAUGAGUGACUGCUGCUUUACCAUUACCAAGGUUUUUUGGGAGAAUUCAUUGGUGUUUCUUGUUUUGCACUACCAGCUUCAUCUACCAAAGGCAAUCUGUUCUGGUAGUAGAAUGGCUUUUUGUUUUUACUUUACUUUUGCUCAUAUCUUGGGGCUAGUGAAGAAGCAGUGUUUUCUGC